This 10315-nucleotide long non-coding RNA is filed under the name Gossypium barbadense (sea-island cotton). RNAcentral's name for it is "long non-coding RNA (GBAR_LNC018242)". The record is from RNAcentral. Lineage: Eukaryota; Viridiplantae; Streptophyta; Magnoliopsida; Malvales; Malvaceae.
GAGCAGUGCAUUCUUUAGGAAGUCCCUGAGGGAAUCGCUUGGUGUCAGUGCAGUAAUUGUAAAUCAUGUAAUUUUUCUGAACCCAUUUCAGCCUUUCUUGGCUCGUUAUAUCCAGUUCUUGCGAUAGCCAUGAAUUUUGAGAGGGCGAGGUGGAGGAACAUGAUGAUUUCCCGGAAGACCACACACAUGCAUCAGCCUUGUAAUUCCUGUAAGCAGCAGUGAAAGGAGCUUGACUCCAAUCUGUCUUAACAAGACCACCUCGAGUGGCCCAAUCAUCGGCGUUCCAAAGACUCGAAUACACUCUCAUCGGUUGGCUCUUUGGGAACGCAACGCCCAUCGAUUCCAAGUUCUUGAACUCUCUGAGCGGAGUCCCAUCAACAGAGAAGCUGUGAACAUUCAAAAGAAUCACAGUUAAACAUAAUGAAAAUAAUCGAAACUGUAAAAUUGAAUAGGGGGGGGGGUUGUAAAAGAAGACGUACAUAAUACGUUGAGGGUUCCAAAGAAGGGAGUAGGUGUGGAAGUCUUUGGUGGGAUCGAACCAAAGGUAGAACUGUUGCUCUUUAUCACCUUUGCCUUGUGUAUAUACAUUGGUGUGGACUGUGUAUGGGUCUCCGCUUAGGUUCCCCAAGAACUCGAAGUCGAUUUCAUCCCAUGUCGACCCUUCCGAACGAAGCUGCAAUUGUCACCCCACAUAUCAGCACAGAGUUGUAAAAUAAAUAAGAGACAAGUAUGAUGAUACAACGUACAUAGUAAGUGGUAACAGUGCCAGCAGAGUUGCCUGGGACCAGCUUAAUGUUCAUAUCAAUCUUCCCAAACAGAUAUUGGUUCUUGGAUUGAAAACCAGAGCCGGAGAAUUUGUCGAGGGUGAGAGUGAGAAGGUUUCCGUUUUCGAGAAUCUUGCCCCUGCCAUCACCCCAAGUAACAUCGAUGUCUUGGUUAAAGUUGGCAGCUGAGGCAAGUAUUACAAAGCUGAAUAAAAGAGAGAGAAGCAACGAAGUGGUCAUUAUUUUGGUGGGUUUGUAUUGUAAUUUAGAUUAUGAUGUUUGAAAUGGGGAAGUGAUAGAGGGUGGUUAUAUAGGGGGGAAGGAUUUGGUGAAACAGAGUAGAGAGGGGUUGUUUGGAAGCUUCGUGGUAUGUGUUUCCGUCGGGACAUUGAGUGAAUCGAAGUUGUAAACAGCUGGAACCGUAAAAGAGAAAGAAAGAAGGGGUCCAAAUGUGAUAAUACAUAACUAAUGGCUGUUCCUUGCUUCCAAAAUGCAUGUUUAAUUAAUGGGUUUGGUGCCUUCUUCCUAUGUCUGGUUGGUGCAAGCAGAUAGAUAUGAAUGUCAGGAAUUUAAUCCGAUUUUAAAAUUUGAGCUUUUAAAUAAAAAAUAAAUUAUUUAAGAUAAUAUCAAUGACUGUUAAAAUAAACUUUAAAAAUAUAGGUGUUUUUAUAUCCAAUAGUAAGUUACAUUAUAUUUUUAAAAAGAAGAUCGUGUAUUUGAAUUUUGAAAAUAUUGAAAUGAUCUUAAAAUAAACAUGAUUAAUUUGUUCUACAAUUUGAGUGAACCAAAAGAUUUCAUUAGCUUAAAAUCAACGGUGUUAAUUAAUAUGAGUAAUUGUCAAUGGCAAAACCAGGGGAGGAUAGCAGGGUCUUAGACCCCCUAAAAUAAAAAAAAUUUCGUAUGAUCUUUUGAGUAAAGGUAAAAUUAUAUUUUGGUCAAACUUAGAAAUAUAAAAAUUUAAUUUAAUCUUUUAAAAUUUAUAAAAAUAUAGUCUAUUAAAAUAAUAAAAUUAUAUUUUUUAUCGUAAAAAUUACAAUUUAAUUUUAACUGUUAAAUUUUUUUUAAAAUUUCACCCAUAUUGAUUGACUAAUUUUUGGGACCAACAAAAACUCAUCCACUGGGCUCAUCAUCUCAAACAAAAAUAAUAAUUAAACUAAUUAUAAAAAUGUCUAACCAAGUUCACAUUUUUAACAUUCUUUCAAUGAAAAUUAAAAUGAUUUUUACGCUUCGCGUUAAUUUAAUUAUUUAUUUAUCUCAAAUUUUGGAGUAUAAAUUUGAAUGUUAAAAUAUACUUUAAUCCUCCUAUCAUUUUCAGAAAUUUAAACCCUCUACUCUUGAGGAUAAAUAGACAUAAAUGAUUUGUUUAACUAUUAAGUAGAAAUUAAUCACAAAUAAUUAAAAUAGAAAAAUAAAAUUUAAAAUUUUUAAAAAAUAUAUAUUUGAACAUUAAGUAGCAAAAAAAAAACAAGUAACUUAAAUGUGAAAAUAAAAUUUAAAAAUUAUAAAAAUUAAUUCUUUUCCAAAAUACUAAUUAAAUUGUCUUUAUUAAGUUUUAAUACCUAAAUUACUUCUACUAAUUUUUUUUAUAGUACCUAAGCUACCCCUACUUACUCCUUAUGGCUAUCAAAGGAGAUGGUUUUAUUAUUUAUAGAUAGAUAGAUAACUUUAAAUAAAAGAAUGUUCAUCAAUUAGCUUUUAAAGUAUUGAUAAGUGUUAAAAGUAAUAUAUUUUAACCUCAUUCUUAAUGUGUUUUUGGGUGAUAAUUCGAUGUUAAUUGUGAAUUUUAUACUCUUAAUCCUUUAAAUUCAUGUUUUGAUGCCUAAUAGAGCAAAAGGAGCAAAAAACGAGUAAAAACCGAAAAAUCAAAGCAAGUUAUAGGACCUAUACGGGCAAACCCAUUCCACAUGACCAUGUGACCCACAUGAGCUACCAUACGAGCGUGUGGUAGGUCGUGUCGAUUGCACGGAUUUGCAUUCUGAAUAGCAAAAAAUCACGUUUUUAAAGUGUUUUAGGCAUUCUAAAACGUAUAUUUGACAAAAAUAAAAAGAUAGAAGGGAGCCAUUAUAGAAUUUUCAAGAAAACAACUCGAAAAACACCAUUGAAGCCGAUUCUGAAGUAGAUUUCCGUCAAGAUUGAAGACUCUCAGUUGAUUUCUUAAGAGAUUGUCAUAAGUUUUUUUUAUUUCUUUCGGUUAUACUGUAUCUUGGAUUUUUUUUUUCAAGCAUGAAUUAAUUUUCUAAAUACCUAGGGAGAUGAACCUUAUGAUGGAUUCUUACGUUUGAUUUUUAUUUUACGCAAUAAAUAAUUAUUUUUUAUUCUUAAUUAUCUGUGCUUAAUUUAUUGGUUUAAUAUUUCUAAACUAUUGAUCCAUAUUUGAUGUACUUAAAUCAGAGGUUAAAUAAACCAUAUGUAAGAGUAGAUUUUGCUUAAUUGAGUGGAGUUGCAUGCAAUCCCAAAAAUAUGAUGACAUAAAUCUAUUGGAUUAGAGUCAAAUCUAAUUGGGAAAUCCAUAGCCCGAGUUAAUGCGAUAAUAAGAGUUUUAAUUAAAAAGAACAAUCAAUUAAUCAACCUAGAGUCAGUUGCUCUUAUUCUCGAAAGAGAUAUUAGCAUAAUUAGGGGUUUCCAUGGAUCAUGUCACUAAAUAAAGAAAUUGCGUAAUUUAGAUUGAUAGUGACAGAUGAAAUCUAGGUGAAUUAUUUCAUGAGUAUUGUUUCGCUUCUUAGUUAUUAAUCCUUUAUUUGCUUCUUUUGUUCUUUGCUAUGUUUAUUAGUUAAUUAAAUUUAGUUUUUAAAUCAAUCACUUGAAUUAUUCUGUUAAAUGAUAGAAAAAGAUAAUAAUUAUUAGCACUUUUAAUUUUCAUAGAAACGAUAUCUUUAUUCAUUAUACCUAUACAAUUAACUGAUAAAUAAAUUUACUUUAGCUAGUUCCGUGGACAUAAAGUAAUACCAAUAAUUCGGAAUGAAUGAUAGGAAAUUUGAUUUUUUUUAUUGAAAUUUUAUAAAUAAAAAAUAAUAUUGAGAAAUCCAACUUAAGAAUUCAACACUAAUAUCACAUAAGAGAAAAGACAUAUGAUAUGAUAGGAAAGCAGGUUGAUGACUGGCUUGUGGAUAAUUAUGAAAAGGCAAACAAAAGAGAGAAUAUGAUUACAAAUAAACAGCUGGCUGCCAGAAUCAUUUCAUUGUGAAAAAAAUAUGUUAUAACAUGUUAAAAUAAUAUUAAUUUAUAUUAUAAUUAUAAUUAAUAUAAUAUGAAUGUCAAGCCCUCGAAUAAAUGCCUAUAAAAUAAUGUUGUGGCAUGGCCCCAUGGAGGUCUUGUUUGGAAUGGAUGUAUGUAUCAGUAUAUCCCACCAACUUCAAGUCGGUUGGCACACAAUACACGAACAAAUCAUUCACAAUAUCACAAUAUGGUAAAAUAAUAUAGAUCCCCACUUUUUUUUUACUUGAAAUCGCGAAAUUUUUACCAAGAUAAGUGCUAUUCGAGAACAAUUAAUUGAUUUAGAUUUGUGAAUUCGUAGAGAUUAUUUGGAGGUAGAAUGGAAAAAGUUAGGAGAAGAAUGCUCAUGAGUUAUGAAUGAGAAUAACAAAAAAUUAGAAGAAGAAAGGAUUUUUUUUUGGUUAGGUGCUUGGAAUGGAAUUGGUUAAGCAUUUUAUUCGAACAGAUAUAGAACUGGAAUGAAUGGUUUUAUGUCGUUUGGCUGUUCAGAUCUUACCUGUUAUAGAGAGGUGGUUGUUAUACACCUAUAACAACAUGUUGUUAUAGAGAGAUAAUAAGCUUACCAUAAAAUUUGUAUUGUGAAUUUUUAUUAAAUAAAGAAAAUGAGAAUUAUAUUAAAAAAAGAAAGAAAAUAGGAACCAAAUAAAUAAAAUUAAAAGACAUAUAAUAAGUGUAUGUAUUAUUGUUUUUAUGCAUAUUUUAUUUUACAUUAUUUCACAUGAUUAAUUAUAAAGUCCAUAAAUCUAAUAAGUUCAAUUAAUCAAUGAGUUAUCAAAUUAAAUUAAUUAAUUAAUUAAUUUAUAAUCAUUGUUAACCAAUGAGGUAAACAAGAGGAAGAAGAAGAUGAUUGAACAAGGAAGAAUGAAGUGAAGGUUGGGGAGUGGUUUUAGUUUUGAAGAUAGUUAGGGGAUUGGGAAGGAGUGUGUACGUGAAUCUAUAUGACUUGUUUGCAUGCCCCUUUUAUAGUGGGGAAUAAGCUUGGAUACGUGUCUUGAGGUUACUGACAUGGAAAUUUGAUUUGAUACCCUUGGCAGUGAUAAUGAUACUACGUCCUAGAAUCACGUCCUAAGAUGAGAUGUUAUAGGGUGACUAGCAAUUAAUUACUUUGGUCCUCCACGUGCCCCCACAUAGUCUUAGCGGAGUUGUUCCUUUCUAAAGUUCAUCGAGUUGAUGUUCGUGAACCAACCCUAAGUUCGUAAUGUAGUUGGUUCCAUUGAGAGAUACGCGUUCAGCUCUCUAUGGAUGCACUUUGAGGUUCAUAAAGUACAUUGUAAGGUCUGGGAGGAUCACUAGACAAGGUAUAACAAUCAUGAAUUACUAAAUUCAAGUAAUCAAUUUAUAACUUUAUGAUAUUUCAAAUUCAUAGCAAAAUAUUUAAUUAGGGAGCUUAAUAGUUUAUGGAAUUGAUAUAUUUAAUUUCACUCAGUGAAGAUUAUUUUCAUUUAAUAAAACAUGAUUAAUAAAUUUCUUCAAGUGAAAAUUAAUCAUUUUGUUGAAAUAAUAUUUUGAUUAAGAUAAUUUUCAUUUAAUAAAUGCUAAGUAAUAGGCUUGCUUAUAUGAAAGAGCUAUAAUUUUACUUAAAAUUUAGAUAAUAUGUUGUUAUAGAGAACUAAUUUAAUAAAGAACGUACUUCAUAAUUAUAGAUGUUACAAUUAAUAGUGAAAAAUUAUUAUAGAAAGUUAAAAUAGAAUAUUAAAAAUCGAUUCUUCUAAAAAUUUAACUAUUAUAAUAGAAUGUUGUUAUAACGAGUGAUUGUUAUAGAAAAAAAUAAUGCAUUACCCUAACAAAAUAGAUAAAUUUAAACUCUGACAAUUAUGAAUGAAGCAUAUUAAUUUUAAUUUCUCCUCUUAAUAUCUAAUCUAAGGUUUUGGUUUAACUUGCAUAUUUCAAUGAAUUAAUGAAUUUUGUUUAUCUAUUGUGAAAACUAUAUAUUUAGAAUACAUAUAAUAGAUUAAAAAUAAUGAAAUAUAAAUAUUGAAAUUAAUUAACAAUAACACAUAAAAUAUGUACGAUAUUAAAAUAAAAUUUACAUAUUAAAUUGUGAGUAAAAUAAAAUUUAAAGACAUAAACACAUCAUAUUAAGAGCACUAAAUACACUCCAAUUGCUUAUUAUGGUGUUGUCAUCAAUCUAGAGUUAGUGCUGAAUUCACUUAUGACACCAACUCAAUCAGCAACAUUAUUAAUACUAGAAAUUUUAUCACACAUAAGCGUGUGGAAAUCACAUAUUUAGAAUACAUAUAUGUGUUUAAAAAUAACAUGUAAUAAAUAAUAAAAGAUAUUGUUUGAAACUAAUAAUAAGACACAUGCAAUAUGUACGAAAUUAAAAUGAAAAAAUAUAGUUUAAAUUGUAAUUUUUAAAAAAAGUCAUUUUCCUAUAACAUGUCAAAAAGUUAUUGAAAGAAAAUUCAAUAUUAAAAUUCAAAUUAUGGCACACCCACAAUGUUUGUGAAAAAUUAAAUUACGUAUCAAAUAUAUUUGUAAAAAACUUAUAUAAAUAAUAAAUAAUGUUUUAGUUGAAUGGUAAAAUAUAAAUGAGAAAAAUUAAAGAGACAUGAGUUUAAAUCUUAUUUUAUAUACACAUGAGCGCGCGCACACACACAUAUAUAUUUGCAUUUUUCUAUUUUUAUAUAAAAUAAAUAAAAUGAUAGAAAUGCCUUCAAAAUAAUACAAUUUAUUUCAUAUAGUCAGGGUAUUUUAAUCUUUUUUCAACUGAGUUGGUAUCUAAUUAACCCGUGACACCAACUCAAUAAGGAGCCUUAAGUAUAGAUAUACAAUUGGUGGAGGUAAUAUAGCGUGCAUAAUAAAAUUAAAAUGUAAAAAGAUAAAAUAAAUCUUUAGUUGAGCGGUAAUUUAAGCUUUUAUUAAUACCAUCAACUUGGGUUCAAGUCCCACUGAUUGUAUUUAUUAUUCUUUUUAAAUAAAAAGAUAAAAGUACCCUCGAAAAAUAAAAUUUAUUUUUAAGUAUUAAAGAACAUUAUGAUAAUUUUCCUAAUUGAGUCGGUACUUAAUUGACUUAUGGAAUUAACUUAAUCAAGAACUUGAAUAAUAGUAUAGAUAAUGACUUGUUUGUAUAUACAUGUUCAAUUUUGUAUGUUGAAAAAAACCUUGUUAUUGAAGAUGUAUUUAUAUUUCCUCAGCAAAAUUGAAAAUAGAGAAAAAUAUAAAGAGAAACGAUUUUUUAUUGUUUUUAUUUGUGUGCUUGAUAAAAUAUACGAAAAAUUGAAAGUAAAAGUAAUUUUUUUUUUAUUGAUUGUUUAGUAGAGUUAAAAAAUGAAUUCAUUAAAAAUGGCUUCUGUCAUAAUUUGCUUCCGAACUAUAAGUACUUAAAUAAAUUUUUUUGUCCCAUUUUGAUACCUCAUUCAUUAUAAUUUUCGGUCCAAAAUAUUAAUGGUAUUAAAAAAAUUGUCAAACCAACCAAUGCGCUACAUGUUUGACAUUUUCACGUGUCAUUAAUUAUGUGACCAAUUAUCGAUGAUGUGGUCGUUAAUCAUUGAUCGUAUCGAACAACUGUUUGCUAGACAUUGGUUGGCAUGUAAAAGAAGGUCACAUAUACCAUUAAUUUUUUGGACCAAAAUUUAUAACAAAACAAUAGUUUAGGUAUUAAAAUAGGGAAAAAUGUUUACGCAAUAAAAUAAGAAAAGCAGAAUAGUGACUCGUGACCUAAACUUAAAAAAAAAUGCAUAAUUUUGAUAUAACAUACAUUUCUCUUAUCAUCCCAAUUUAUCAUAAUUUAUUUUUAUGCACUAAAAUGUAAAAUUAUUAUCCCUUCUUAUAUUUGAUCAAGUACGCCCUAUUUUUACUUCUUCACUUUUAUCUUACUUUUUAUUACAACACCAAUUUUAAAAAUAAAUAGAGUUGAAACAACAUUUUAAAAAAUAAUAAGAAACAUGACUAGGUUUACACAUUCAACCUCGUUUAUUUAUUGCCUUUUGACACAGUAAAUUUCCAGAGCAAGGGAAGACAUAAUCGUAGGAUAAAAGUUGCAAAGUUUGGCAUUCUGAUCUCAAUUUUUUAAAAUAAUAACAUGAAUAAACUAAUGAUAGAUUGAUUUAUUUAUUCUCUUUUUAAUUUUUUAUUUAAUCUGUUUUUUUUCACCAAUUUGUAUUAAUUUAAGAAUUUUGAUUUGUCUUAAAAUUAAAAGUGAUAAGUAUCGAAUUGAAUAUAUGUGAAAAUAUGAUGUAGUAUUAUAAAUGUGAAAUUGAAUUAAUAUCAUUAUGUGUAAUGCUAUUAUAUUGGAGAAUUGAUUAUUGGUUGAUGAAAUUAUGUAAUGAAAUUGAGAAAUUGUUACCCUAUUAACUGUUCGGGUAGAGUCGGAUAUAGUUGGCAUGCCAUAGGAUAGGAAGAGUUCAGGGUUACUUCGGUUGUACCGAUGAGGCACUGAGUGUCAAACACAUUGAUGAGCGUUGGGCUCAAACUAUUUACUUCGACAUUGUCCGAUGAGGCACUGGGUGUCAAACUGGUUUGAUUGGUUAGAUCCGUAUAUAUGUCCGAGUCCGAUUUAGAUUAAUAGGGGUAUAAAAUAAAUUUUGAUAAAUGAUAUUUGAAUUGGGUUAAUAUUAUGUUUUGAUGAUUUGUAUACAUAUUGUGAUUAACGGAUAUCGAUGACACGUAAAAAAUCAUACGAACCAGUUAUGUGCCUGAUGGGCCGAUAUAAAAAUGUGAUGAAUCAAUAAGUUCAAUUCAGAAUUUAAAUAAGGAAAUGAAAUAGUAAUUGUCAUUAAACUUAAAUUGGAUAUAUAACUGAUAAAUAGAUGGAAUGACAUAAUAUUAUAAGAAUGAUGUUCAUAUGGUUAAAUGUUGAAUUGAUUUUGAGAAUGGUAUUGAAAUGUGAUUUUAGGUGAGGUUUAUUUCAUAUUGAAAUGUUAUAUGAUGAGUUUAAAUGUUAACUCAGCUUGUUGAUUUAUGAUUGUCAUGUUUAGGUAAAAUUGUCAAGUUGAAUAACUUGUUGUGUUAAAUCGUAAAAUAAGGUAAGAUGUUUAAAUACCAGUGAACUUACUAAGCAUUUGUAAUGUUUACCUUCCACUUGUUUCCUUUUCCCUGUAAAUUGCCAACUUAAGGAACGUGUCAAGUGGAUCUUUGAGAAACUCACAUUAUCAUGUUGUUGAUUCGGUAUCUUUUAAUCAUUUAAAGUUCAAUUUUGUGGCAUGUAUAUAGGUAAUUUGUUUUGAUCAAUCUUGAAUGUUGGCACUUUGGUUCUUGAAUGUGAUUGGUAUUUUGAAUGGUUAUAUGUUAUAUACAUAGGUGUAAAGGUUGGUAAUGUGAUGCUCGAGUAUAGGCAUAAUAUGUAUAGAUAUGUUAUCUGGGAGUGAUAGUGUUUUUGGAACCUUAAAUAAUGUUAAACUUAAUUGGCAAAUAGGUUGUGUACUAAAAUGUGCACUUUGACAUUUUUGUCAAGUUAUGGUAGAAGCUUAAAUGGCAUUUAUUGAGGUUGAAAUGUUAAGAUGUUUGGCGUGCCUUAUUGAAUGAUUGAUGAAUACAUAUGCUAUUAAGCUUACCAAAGUGUUCAUUACAUGUGAAAUAACUUGUACGGUUUUGUAGUUAACAAAAUGGAUGAAUUAGGAUGUGUUUAGAAUAAUUUUAUGCAGGUUUGUAUUGGCCAAAUGUACACCAUUUUAGCCUUUAAUUUGUUUUGAUUAUAUUUAUUCUUUUUACUAUAAUGUUUAAAAUUAUUCAUAAUCUCUUUCGAACUCAUAAAUAAAAAAAUACACUAUUUUCAAUCUAACUAUCGUCAAUCUAAGACGAAUUUCAUAGUUUGUCGUUUUAGUAUCUUACGUAAAGAGAACGAAAGAAAAGUUCAACAACCGGAACUUAGACCUGGCAGUCUACACGUCUUCAUUUAAUAUUCGAAAUAGAAUAUUAUUAUUGAGCUUAUAUUACAUGUUACAAUAUAUGUAGAAUGAAACAAAAGAAUACUAUUGAGGAAAUUAAUUAAAUUAAAAUCCCUGUUAAGGAGCAGUGCAUUCUUUAGGAAGUCCCUGAGGGAAUCGCUUGGUGUCAGUGCAGUAAUUGUAAAUCAUGUAAUUUUUCUGAACCCAUUUCAGCCUUUCUUGGCUCGUUAUAUCCAGUUCUUGCGAUAGCCAUGAAUUUUGAGAGGGCGAGGUGGAGGAACAUGAUGAUUUCCCGGAAGACCACACACAUGUAUCAGCCUUGUAAUUCCUGUAAGCAGCGGUGAAAGGAGCUUGGCUCCAAUCUGUCUUAACAAGACCACCUCGAGUGGCCCAAUCAUCGGCGUUCCAAAGACUCGAAUACACUCUCAUCGGCUGGCUCUUUGGGAACGCAACGCCCUUCGAUUCCAAGUUCUUGAACUCUCUGAGCGGAGUCCCAUCAACAGAGAAGCU